GAUGAAGAACGCAGCGAAACGCGAUAAGUAAUGUGAAUUGCAGAAUUCAGUGAAUCAUCGAAUCUUUGAACGCACAUUGCGCCCGCCAGUAUUCUGGCGGGCAUGCCUGUCUGAGCGUCAUUUCAACCCUCAUGCCCCUAGGGCGUGGUGUUGGGGAUCGGCCAAAGCCCGCGAGGGACGGCCGGCCCCUAAAUCUAGUGGCGGACCCGUCGUGGCCUCCUCUGCGAAGUAGUGAUAUUCCGCAUCGGAGAGCGACGAGCCCCUGCCGUUAAACCCCCAACUUUCCAAGGUUGACCUCAGAUCAGGUAGGAAUACCCGCUGAACUUAAGCAUAUCAAUAAGCGGAGGA
RNAcentral lists this unclassified non-coding RNA (348 nucleotides) under soil metagenome. Its description in RNAcentral is "partial contains 5.8S ribosomal RNA, internal transcribed spacer 2, and large subunit ribosomal RNA". The stretch from base 1 to 120 matches the Rfam family "5.8S ribosomal RNA", at positions 35 to 154 of the family's 154-position model. The record is from RNAcentral.